RNAcentral lists this ribosomal RNA (253 nucleotides) under uncultured bacterium. Its description in RNAcentral is "partial 16S ribosomal RNA". It matches the Rfam family "Bacterial small subunit ribosomal RNA", at positions 524 to 776 of the family's 1533-position model. The record is from RNAcentral.
UACAGAGGGGGCGAGCGUUGUUCGGAAUUACUGGGCGUAAAGGGCGCGUAGGCGGCCCGCUAAGUCGAUCGUUAAAUCCCCAGGCUCAACCUGGGAACUGCGUCCGAUACUGGCAGGCUUGAAUCCGGGAGAGGGAUGUGGAAUUCCAGGUGUAGCGGUGAAAUGCGUAGAUAUCUGGAGGAACACCGGUGGCGAAGGCGGCAUCCUGGACCGGUAUUGACGCUGAGGCGCGAAAGCUAGGGGAGCAAACGGG